CCAAGUGGCUCUCGCUUCUGGCUCCACUCUGGGGACAGCAUCAGGUGGGGAGUUUGAUUGGGGUGGUACAGCUGUCAAACCAUAAUGCAGGUGUGAUAAGGUGAGCUCAGAAACCUUCCAUGGAGCAGAAGGGCAAAAGUUCGCUUAAUCUUGAUUUUCAGUAUAAAUACAGACCAUGAAAGCAGGGCCUCACAAUCCUUCUGACUUUUUGGGUUUUAAGCAGGAGGUGUCGGAAAAGUUUCCACGGUGAUAACUGGCUUGUGGCGGCCAAGCGUUCAUAGUGAUAUCGUUUUUUGAUUCUUUGAUGUUGGCUCUUCCUAUCAUUGUGAAGCAGAACUCACCAAGUGUUGGAUUGUUCACCCACUAAUAGGGAACGUGAGAUGGGUUUAGACCGUGGUGAGGCAGGUUAGUU
RNAcentral lists this non-coding RNA (412 nucleotides) under Anolis carolinensis (green anole). Its description in RNAcentral is "Eukaryotic large subunit ribosomal RNA". It matches the Rfam family "Eukaryotic large subunit ribosomal RNA", at positions 2567 to 2988 of the family's 3401-position model. The record is from Rfam by way of RNAcentral. Lineage: Eukaryota; Metazoa; Chordata; Lepidosauria; Squamata; Anolidae.